UCCGGUUGAUCCUGCCAGAGGUUACUGCUAUCGGUGUUCGCCUAAGCCAUGCGAGUCAUAUGUUCUUCGUGAACAUGGCGUACUGCUCAGUAACACGUGGAUAACCUGCCCUUGGGUCCGGCAUAACCCCGGGAAACUGGGGAUAAUUCCGGAUAACGCACAUAUGCUGGAAUGCUUUAUGCGUAAAAUGGAUUCGUCUGCCCAAGGAUGGGUCUGCGGCCUAUCAGGUAGUAGUGGGUGUAAUGUACCUACUAGCCUACAACGGGUACGGGUUGUGAGAGCAAGAGCCCGGAGAUGGAUUCUGAGACAUGAAUCCAGGCCCUACGGGGCGCAGCAGGCGCGAAAACUUUACAAUGCGGGAAACCGUGAUAAGGGGACACCGAGUGCUAGCAUCAUAUGCUGGCUGUCCAGGUGUGUAAAAUACACCUGUUAGCAAGGGCCGGGCAAGACCGGUGCCAGCCGCCGCGGUAACACCGGCGGCCCGAGUGGUGAUCGUGAUUAUUGGGUCUAAAGGGUCCGUAGCCGGUUUGGUCAGUCCUCCGGGAAAUCUGACAGCUCAACUGUUAGGCUUUCGGGGGAUACUGCCAGACUUGGAACCGGGAGAGGUAAGAGGUACUACAGGGGUAGGAGUGAAAUCUUGUAAUCCCUGUGGGACCACCUGUGGCGAAAGCGUCUUACCAGAACGGGUUCGACGGUGAGGGACGAAAGCUGGGGGCACGAACCGGAUUAGAUACCCGGGUAGUCCCAGCCGUAAACGAUGCUCGCUAGGUGUCAGGCAUGGCGCGACCGUGUCUGGUGCCGCAGGGAAGCCGUGAAGCGAGCCACCUGGGAAGUACGGCCGCAAGGCUGAAACUUAAAGGAAUUGGCGGGGGAGCACAACAACGGGUGGAGCCUGCGGUUUAAUUGGACUCAACGCCGGACAACUCACCGGGGACGACAGCAAUAUGUAGGCCAGGCUGAAGACCUUGCCUGAAUCGCUGAGAGGAGGUGCAUGGCCGUCGCCAGUUCGUACUGUGAAGCAUCCUGUUAAGUCAGGUAACGAGCGAGACC
RNAcentral lists this ribosomal RNA (1050 nucleotides) under unidentified archaeon. Its description in RNAcentral is "bacterial SSU rRNA". It matches the Rfam family "Archaeal small subunit ribosomal RNA", at positions 1 to 1052 of the family's 1478-position model. The record is from RNAcentral.